CUCGACCUACGGGAGGCAGCAGUGAGGAAUAUUGGUCAAUGGACGCAAGUCUGAACCAGCCAAGUAGCGUGCAGGAUGACGGCCCUCCGGGUUGUAAACUGCUUUUAGUUGGGAAUAAAAGGGGGCUCGUGAGCCCCGUAUUGUAUGUACCAUCAGAAAAAGGACCGGCUAAUUCCGUGCCAGCAGCCGCGGUAAUACGGAAGGCCCGAGCGUUAUCCGGAUUCAUUGGGCUUAAAGGGAGCGUAGGCGGGCGUUCAAGUCAGCUGUAAAAUCGCGCGGCUCAACCGCGCCCCGCAGUUGAAACC
RNAcentral lists this ribosomal RNA (305 nucleotides) under uncultured bacterium. RNAcentral describes it as "bacterial SSU rRNA". It matches the Rfam family "Bacterial small subunit ribosomal RNA", at positions 331 to 634 of the family's 1533-position model. The record is from RNAcentral.